AUACGUAGGUGGCGAGCGUUGUCCGGAUUUACUGGGUGUAAAGGGCGAGUAGGCGGGUAAACAAGUCAGAUGUGAAAUACCGAGGCUCAACUUCGGGGCUGCAUUUGAAACUGUUUUUCUUGAGUGAUGGAGAGGCAGGCGGAAUUCCCAGUGUAGCGGUAAAAUGCAUAGAGAUUGGGAGGAACACCAGUGGCGAAGGCGGCCUGCUGGACAUCAACUGACGCUGAGGAGCGAAAGUGUGGGGAGCAAACAGGAUUAGAUACCCUGGUAGUCCACACCGUAAACGAUGGAUACUAGGUGUGCGGGGACUGACCCCCUGCGUGCCGGAGUUAACACAUUAAGUAUCCCACCUGGGGAAUACGAUCGCAAGAUUGAAACUCAAAUGAAUUGGCGGGG
Molecule: ribosomal RNA, 396 nt
Filed under: uncultured bacterium
Lineage: Bacteria
Description: partial 16S ribosomal RNA
Rfam family: Bacterial small subunit ribosomal RNA
Source: RNAcentral